AAUGAACGCUGGCGGCAUGCCUAAUACAUGCAAGUCGAGCGACAACACAGUAAGCUCGUUCUCUUGCCGUUAGCGGCUGGCGGACGUGUAACUCGUACAUCACCUUCUUCUUUUUCUGGGGUGACUUCGGGAGGACACUUACACUAAUGACUCAUACGAUCUACGGCUUGAUUCAAUAGAGAUUCACACUUUUCCCGAUUCUUAUAGACGGGGUCGGGUUAGCUAGUCGGCGUGGUAAAGUCCCACCAAGGCAACGCUCCGUAGCGGGUCUGAGAGGAUGAUCAGCAACACUGGAACUGAGACACGGUCCAGACUCCUACGGGAGGCAGCAGUGGGGAAUAUUGGACAAAGGGCGAAAGCCUGAUCCAGCCAUACCGCGUGGGUGAAGAAGGUCUUCGGGUUGUAAAGCCCUUUUGUUGGGAAAGAAAAGCAGCAGGUUAAUAACCCGCUGUUCUGACGGUACCAAAAGAAUAAGCACCGGCUAACUUCGUG
Molecule: ribosomal RNA, 492 nt
Filed under: uncultured bacterium
Lineage: Bacteria
Description: partial 16S ribosomal RNA
Rfam family: Bacterial small subunit ribosomal RNA
Source: RNAcentral